CAACGCCGGCGUGGAGGAUGAAGCCCCUUGGGGCGUAAACUCCUUUCGAUCGGGACGAUAAUGACGGUACCGAGAGAAGAAGCCCCCGGCUAAACUUCGUGC
This 102-nucleotide ribosomal RNA is filed under the name uncultured bacterium. RNAcentral's name for it is "partial 16S ribosomal RNA". The record is from RNAcentral.